This 435-nucleotide ribosomal RNA is filed under the name uncultured bacterium. RNAcentral describes it as "partial 16S ribosomal RNA". It matches the Rfam family "Bacterial small subunit ribosomal RNA", at positions 29 to 507 of the family's 1533-position model. The record is from RNAcentral.
AGCGAACGCUGGCGGCAGGCUUAACACAUGCAAGUCGAGCGGGCACUUUCGGGUGUCAGCGGCGGACGGGUGAGUAACGCGUGGGAACGUGCCCUCUGGUUCGGAAUCACUCAGGGAAACUUGAGCUAAUACCGGAUACGCCCUUUUGGGGAAAGGCUUGCUGCCGGAGGAUCGGCCCGCGUCUGAUUAGCUAGUUGGUGAGGUAACGGCUCACCAAGGCGACGAUCAGUAGCUGGUCUGAGAGGAUGAUCAGCCACACUGGGACUGAGACACGGCCCAGACUCCUACGGGAGGCAGCAGUGGGGAAUAUUGGACAAUGGGCGCAAGCCUGAUCCAGCCAUGCCGCGUGAGUGAUGAAGGCCUUAGGGUUGUAAAGCUCUUUUAUCCGGGACGAUAAUGACGGUACCGGAGGAAUAAGCCCCGGCUAACUUCGUG